This 83-nucleotide transfer RNA is filed under the name Phycisphaerales bacterium. RNAcentral describes it as "tRNA-Tyr". It matches the Rfam family "tRNA". From Rfam's summary of the family: Transfer RNA (tRNA) molecules are approximately 80 nucleotides in length. Their secondary structure includes four short double-helical elements and three loops (D, anti-codon, and T loops). Lineage: Bacteria; Pseudomonadati; Planctomycetota; Phycisphaerae; Phycisphaerales. The record is from RNAcentral.
GGGCGUGUAUCCAAGCGGCCAAAGGGCGGGGAUUGUAAAUCCUCUUGCAUUAGCAUUCGGUGGUUCGAAUCCACCCGCGCCCA